Zalophus californianus (California sea lion) is the source of this 107-nucleotide small nuclear RNA. The record is from Ensembl. NCBI's taxonomy places the organism in Eukaryota, Metazoa, Chordata, Mammalia, Carnivora, Otariidae.
GUGCUCAAUUUGGCAGUACAUAUACUAAAACUGGAACAAUACAGAGCAGAUUAGCAUGGCCCCUGCACAAGGAUGACAUGCAAAUUUGUGAAGUGUUCUAUAUCUUA